GACGAACGCUGGCGGCGUGCUUAACACAUGCAAGUCGAACGGUGACCCAGGGCUUGCCCUGGUGAUCAGUGGCGAACGGUGAGUAACACGUGGGCAACCUGCCCCUGACUUCGGGAUAACUCCUCGAAAGAGGAGCUAAUACCGGAUACGACCACUUCGGACAUCCGAUGGUGGUGGAAAGUUUUUCGGUCAGGGAUGGGCCCGCGGCCUAUCAGCUAGUUGGUGGGAUAAUGGCCUACCAAGGCGACGACGGGUAGCCGGCCUGAGAGGGCGACCGGCCACACUGGGACUGAGACACGGCCCAGACUCCUACGGGAGGCAGCAGUGGGGAAUAUUGCGCAAUGGGCGAAAGCCUGACGCAGCGACGCCGCG
RNAcentral lists this ribosomal RNA (372 nucleotides) under uncultured bacterium. RNAcentral's name for it is "bacterial SSU rRNA". It matches the Rfam family "Bacterial small subunit ribosomal RNA", at positions 28 to 401 of the family's 1533-position model. The record is from RNAcentral.